This 429-nucleotide ribosomal RNA is filed under the name Bacteroidota bacterium. RNAcentral's name for it is "Bacteroidetes bacterium partial 16S ribosomal RNA". It matches the Rfam family "Bacterial small subunit ribosomal RNA", at positions 355 to 776 of the family's 1533-position model. The record is from RNAcentral. Lineage: Bacteria; Pseudomonadati; Bacteroidota.
UAGGGAAUCUUCCGCAAUGGACGCAAGUCUGACGGAGCAACGCCGCGUGAGUGAAGAAGGAUUUCGGUUCGUAAAACUCUGUUGUUAGAGAAGAACAGCGCAUAGAGUAACUGUUAUGCGUGUGACGGUAUCUAACCAGAAAGCCACGGCUAACUACGUGCCAGCAGCCGCGGUAAUACGUAGGUGGCAAGCGUUGUCCGGAUUUAUUGGGCGUAAAGCGAGCGCAGGCGGUCAAUUAAGUCUGAUGUGAAAGCUCCCGGCUCAACCGGGGAGGGUCAUUGGAAACUGGUUGACUUGAGUGCAGAAGAGGAGAGUGGAAUUCCAUGUGUAACGGUGAAAUGCGUAGAUAUAUGGAGGAACACCAGUGGCGAAGGCGACUCUCUGGUCUGUAACUGACGCUGAGGCUCGAAAGCGUGGGUAGCAAACAGG